This is a small nuclear RNA of Ochotona princeps (American pika), 94 nucleotides long. The record is from Ensembl. Lineage: Eukaryota; Metazoa; Chordata; Mammalia; Lagomorpha; Ochotonidae.
GUGUUCACUUUGCCAGCACAUGUAAUAAAAUUGAAAUGAUACAGAGAAGAUUAGCAUGGCCCUACAUAAAGAUGUAGAACAUUCCGUAAUUUUU